AUUGAACGCUGGCGGCAUGCUUUACACAUGCAAGUCGAACGGCAGCACGGGUGCUUGCACCUGGUGGCGAGUGGCGGACGGGUGAGUAAUACAUCGGAACGUGUCCAGAAGAGGGGGAUAACGCAUCGAAAGAUGUGCUAAUACCGCAUAUGCUCUGAGGAGGAAAGUGGGGGAUCGAAAGACCUUACGCUUUUGGAGCGGCCGAUGUCUGAUUAGCUAGUUGGUGGGGUAAGGGCCUACCAAGGCGACGAUCAGUAGUUGGUCUGAGAGGACGACCAGCCACACUGGGACUGAGACACGGCCCAGACUCCUACGGGAGGCAGCAGUGGGGAAUUUUGGACAAUGGGCGCAAGCCUGAUCCAGCAAUGCCGCGUGAGUGAAGAAGGCCUCGGUGUAACGACUUUGUC
Molecule: ribosomal RNA, 407 nt
Filed under: uncultured bacterium
Lineage: Bacteria
Description: bacterial SSU rRNA
Rfam family: Bacterial small subunit ribosomal RNA
Source: RNAcentral